Non-coding RNA from Lonchura striata (white-rumped munia), 742 nucleotides. Lineage: Eukaryota; Metazoa; Chordata; Aves; Passeriformes; Estrildidae. The record is from RefSeq and is a predicted model, not a curated record.
UGCUGCACAGAGGAAGAAAUGCUGCGGUGACAAACUGUCCUCUUGUGCAGACCUCCUGCAUCAUCUGCUCCCCCUGGACCACCCUAUGGUAGCCUCUGAACACAGUCUUGCUGCUACUGCAAACCACCUCUGAAACAAAAGACUUUGCAAGGAUGAACGAGACCCUUCCUGUCCCUGUGUUGUCAGCCAGAUCUUGAAGCUCAUUUGACUCUCCUGACUGCUAGCGUUGACCUAAGGCAAGCAGCAGGAAUACAAAAUUAAGCUCUAGUAAGGGUGGGGCUAGUCUCAGUAGGGCACCACAGGCUUGAGCUAGAAUAUGUUGUUCAUAAAACCACAUCCUCAUAGGCUCACACACCAAGGCUUAAGAGAUCAACCUGCCAGAGAAAGACAGGUGCAGUGGAGAGAAGGCAAAUUUUAUAUUGGAAUGUCACUUCACCCAUCAAUUGAUCUCCAGUCUAAGAGCAAAGCAAUAGAAAUGAGGUUGGAAGGAGGAGAAAGGAAACUGACAAUGAUGUAUUCUCUAGAAGAGAUACCACACUCAUUGUGAAUUAUUGUCAAAAGAAACAUUGUCACCAGCCGGAAGACCAUUCACACCGAAAGGGCUGUGCUCACUGAAAGACACAAUAGAAUUCAAAUGCAGUGCCAAGCUCUUCCUCUUCUGUCCACCGCCUCCUCCAGCUGCCCCUUAUUUGAAUCAAAUGGCAACAAGCUUGGACCCUUGUGAAGAGUCUGACUCCCAUAA